CUACGGGAUGCAGCAGUGAGGAAUAUUGCACAAUGGGGGGAACCCUGAUGCAGCAACGCCGCGUGGAGGAUGACGCAUUUCGGUGUGUAAACUCCUUUUAUAUGUCAAGAAAAUGACGGUAGCAUAUGAAUAAGCGCCGGCUAACUCCGUGCCAGCAGCCGCGGUAAUACGGAGGGCGCAAGCGUUACUCGGAAUCACUGGGCGUAAAGGACGCGUAGGCGGGUUGAAAAGUCAGGUGUGAAAGCCUACAGCUUAACUGUAGAACUGCACUUGAAACUCUCAAUCUAGAGUAUGGGAGGGGCAGAUGGAAUUAGUGGUGUAGGGGUAAAAUCCGUAGAUAUCACUAGGAAUACCUAAAGCGAAGGCGAUCUGCUGGAACAUUACUGACGCUAAGGCGUGAAAGCGUGGGGAGCAAACAGGAUUAGAUACCCGCGUAGUC
RNAcentral lists this ribosomal RNA (439 nucleotides) under uncultured bacterium. RNAcentral describes it as "partial 16S ribosomal RNA". It matches the Rfam family "Bacterial small subunit ribosomal RNA", at positions 339 to 795 of the family's 1533-position model. The record is from RNAcentral.